CUGGUAGUAGAUGACCCGGUCGGGGAUGCCGCGGGUCUUUUCCGCGCUGGUGGCCGGCCAGGGCUGGAUCAACACCAGCCCAUCAGG
RNAcentral lists this transfer RNA (87 nucleotides) under Mycolicibacterium duvalii. RNAcentral describes it as "tRNA-Lys". Lineage: Bacteria; Bacillati; Actinomycetota; Actinomycetes; Mycobacteriales; Mycobacteriaceae. The record is from RNAcentral.